GACGAACGCGGGCGGCGUGCUUAACACAUGCAAGUCGGACGGAAAGGCCCAGCUAUUGUGGGGUGCUCGAGGGGCGAACGGGUGAGUAACACGUGAGUAACCUGCCCUUGACUUAGUGAUAACUUCAGGAAACUGGGGCGAAUACCGGAUAUGAGCUCCUGCUGCAUGGGGGGGGGUGGAAAGUUUCGGCGGUUGGGGAUGGACUCGCGGCUUAUCAGCUUGUUGGUGGGGUAGUGGCUUACCAAGGCUUUGACGGGUAGCCGGCCUGAGAGGGUGACCGGCCACCUUGGGACUGUGAUACGGCACAGACACCUACGGGAGGCAGCAGUGGGGGAUAUUGCACAAUGGGCGGCAGCAUGAUGCAGCAACGCCGCGUGCGGGAUGAAGGCCUUCGCGUUGUAACCCGCUUUCGCCUGUGACGAAGCCUGAGUGCCGGUCCUGGGUCAAGAAGCACCGGCUAACUACGUG
RNAcentral lists this ribosomal RNA (468 nucleotides) under uncultured bacterium. Its description in RNAcentral is "partial 16S ribosomal RNA". It matches the Rfam family "Bacterial small subunit ribosomal RNA", at positions 28 to 507 of the family's 1533-position model. The record is from RNAcentral.